AUUGAACGCUGGCGGCAGGCCUAACACAUGCAAGUCGAACGGUAGCAGGAAGACGCUUGCUUCUUUGCUGACGAGUGGCGGACGGGUGAGUAAUGUCUGGGAAACUGCCUGAUGGAGGGGGAUAACUACUGGAAACGGUAGCUAAUACCGCAUAACGUCGCAAGACCAAAGAGGGGGACCUUCGGGCCUCUUGCCAUCGGAUGUGCCCAGAUGGGAUUAGCUAGUAGGUGGGGUAACGGCUCACCUAGGCGACGAUCCCUAGCUGGUCUGAGAGGAUGACCAGCCACACUGGAACUGAGACACGGUCCAGACUCCUACGGGAGGCAGCAGUGGGGAAUAUUGCACAAUGGGCGCAAGCCUGUUGCAGCCAUGCCGCGUGUAUGAAGAAGGCCUUCGGGUUGUAAAGUACUUUCAGCGGGGAGGAAGGGAGUAAAGUUAAUACCUUUGCUCAUUGACGUUACCCGCAGAAGAAGCACCGGCUAACUCCGUG
This 490-nucleotide ribosomal RNA is filed under the name uncultured bacterium. RNAcentral's name for it is "partial 16S ribosomal RNA". It matches the Rfam family "Bacterial small subunit ribosomal RNA", at positions 30 to 507 of the family's 1533-position model. The record is from RNAcentral.